Molecule: long non-coding RNA, 612 nt
Organism: Monodelphis domestica (gray short-tailed opossum)
Lineage: Eukaryota; Metazoa; Chordata; Mammalia; Didelphimorphia; Didelphidae
Source: RefSeq, a predicted model, not a curated record
UGAGUAUACAUAUCAGUUACCUAGCAAUGGCAGAAAGACAAACAUCCACAGAGGUCACUAAAAAUUCUCCAUUUCCUUCCAUAGUUGGAUGUAAGAUCAUCAAUCCUGAAUCAUUUGUUUUCCUUGUUGGUGUUUUGUGAAACACUCCUGAUUAAUUUGAUCUCCCAGUCAAAUGAGGAUAGAAGAAUUAUGGUGUGCUAAAAGAUAAUUGUGGAGAGAUUGGGCUAUUCUGUCAAGCCUUCUGACUUGUAGUGAUGCUGACAUGGAAAUGGAAUCAGAUGAUGACAAUACUAUCUUGGUUACAUUGAAAGAUUACAUCGUCAUUAUCAUGCUCUUUGUUCUCAUUGCCACUCUAAUUGUGGUCAAUAAGAUAAGUAAAAUGGCAAACGAUCCAGAAAACGAAAAUGAAUAAACAAAACUGGAGUGGGUAGAGACCUUGUGGGUUCAAGAGUGGAAGAAGGGAUGGAGAAUUUAUGAAAAACAGCAACAAUUCAGCAAGAUUGAUUUACUUUCUUUACCUUUUCACUUCUGUGAAAGGUAAGAGCCUAGUGCCCUUUGAUUUCAGCCAUGGAAACCAGGAAGAAUAUAGCUAUAAUUCUUGACCCUUCCAAA